GUGGCAGCUUGGUGGUCGUAUGUGUGGUGCCAUUUAUUUAACCUUUAGAAGUGACAUCACAUAUACGGUGGCUAAACUGCUAC
Molecule: microRNA precursor, 83 nt
Filed under: Dasypus novemcinctus (nine-banded armadillo)
Lineage: Eukaryota; Metazoa; Chordata; Mammalia; Cingulata; Dasypodidae
Description: microRNA 489 (ENSDNOG00000049027.1)
Rfam family: mir-489 microRNA precursor family
Source: RNAcentral